GACGAACGCUGGCGGCGUGCUUAACACAUGCAAGUCGAACGAUGACGACCGAGCUUGCUCGGUCUGAUUAGUGGCGAACGGGUGAGUAACACGUGAGCAACCUGCCCUUCACUCUGGGAUAACCUCGGGAAAUCGGGGCUAAUACCGGAUAUGAGCUCCUGUCGCAUGGCGGGUGUUGGAAAGUUUUUCGGUGAAGGAUGGGCUCGCGGCCUUUCAGUUUGUUGGUGGGGUAGUGGCUCACCAAGGCGAUGACGGGUAGCCGGCCUGAGAGGGCGACCGGCCACACUGGGACUGAGACACGGCCCAGACUCCUACGGGAGGCAGCAGUGGGGAAUAUUGCACAAUGGGCGAAAGCCUGAUGCAGCGACGCCGCGUGAGGGAUGACGGCCUUCGGGUUGUAAACCUCUUUCAGCAGGGAAGAAGCGAAAGUGACGGUACCUGCAGAAGAAGCGCCGGCUAACUACGUG
This 467-nucleotide ribosomal RNA is filed under the name uncultured bacterium. RNAcentral describes it as "partial 16S ribosomal RNA". It matches the Rfam family "Bacterial small subunit ribosomal RNA", at positions 28 to 507 of the family's 1533-position model. The record is from RNAcentral.